Molecule: ribosomal RNA, 514 nt
Filed under: uncultured Methanocorpusculum sp.
Lineage: Archaea; Methanobacteriati; Methanobacteriota; Methanomicrobia; Methanomicrobiales; Methanocorpusculaceae
Description: bacterial SSU rRNA
Source: RNAcentral
CAAACUUUACAAUGCGAGCAAUCGUGAUAAGGAAACCUGAGUGCCUGUUGAUGCAGGCUGUUCAUUAGUUUAAAUUGAUAGUGAAGAAAGGGCAGGGCAAGACCGGUGCCAGCCGCCGCGGUAAUACCGGCUGCUCGAAUGAUGGCCACUAUUACUGGGUUUAAAGCGUCCGUAGCUUGAUUGUUAGGUCUCUUGGGAAAUCUUCACGCUUAACCUUAAGGCGUCUAAGAGAUACCGGCAAUCUUGGRACUGGGAGAGGUAAACCGUACUUCSGGGGUAGGAGUGAAAUCUUGUAAUCCUCGAGGGACGACCUAUGGCGAAGGCAGUUUACCAGAACAGCUUCGACAGUGAGGGACGAAAGCUGGGGGAGCAAACGGGAUUAGAUACCCCGGUAGUCCCAGCCGUAAACAAUGUGCGUUAGGUGUAUCGGCAGCCACGCGUUACUGAUGCGCCGCAGAGAAAUCGUGAAACGCACCACCCUGGGAAGUAUGGUCGCAAGGCUGAAACUUAAAGG